CUCUUCUGUCUUCUCCUGGCUCAUCUCGCGCGCCAGAAAACACACCAGUCGGUGGGAGUCGGCCCGGUGGUUGAUGUUACGGAGUUCGCGGAAACGCGAGGGUAUUCAACGAAAAAUCGGUGCCGCGCGGCGGCUAGCUAGCGCACGGAAAGGUGAAAACGUCGUACGUGCGAAUUAUCCGUUGGCACGAGAGCAGAGGAGAGCAAACGAAGGAUAGAGAAAGAAGGUACACGUAGAAAGUUUGGAGUCCUGACGUGCCAACCAGGCGUUGCAUGUUUCGCUGACGGUUUCGCAGACCGAUGACAUGGCUCGGCUGUGAUAGCGUUGGAUCGCUUGCCAAAGAUGCUUCCGUUGAAGGGAGGCUUCCUGUAGGCGGCAUCCACGGCGAUGGCGAGGAUGAAGAGGGCAACGACGAUGGCAAUAACGAAGCGGGAGGACAUCAUUCUGAUGGUUUUGAUUUGUAAACUGCUUGAAAUUAAAGGAACAAUUAUUUGAUAAACUAAGAAUAUCGUAUAGGAAGAAGAAACUAAAAGUAACAUGGAACAGGGAGUAAAAUUUUCCAAAUAGAAUUAUUUAAUAUAUAAGGGAAAAAUUCUUAUAUAGAAAUGGUCAGUUUACUUACAAAUGUGGAAACGAUAGAAGUUGUACGGUAGCUGGUCAGCGAAUGUUGCAAAUAAGGCGAAAGCUCGGAGCUUUUAUAGUAGAGAAAUGAACCGAAGACAAAUGUGCCUAUCAAGUACAGAUGGCCUACAUUAUUUGUAAGUGAACUCACCAAGAAGUUUGUCUAAGGAUGUAUCGAUUCAACGUAAUGUUAAAAUUCCUCGUACAACGACGGCAAUCAGUGGAAAUAAUAGGAAGAUAUGCAAACAUUUAUGUGAAACUUAAAACGUAGAAUUUAAA
RNAcentral lists this unclassified non-coding RNA (900 nucleotides) under Bombus terrestris (buff-tailed bumblebee). RNAcentral's name for it is "misc RNA ENSBTSG00005019918.1". The record is from RNAcentral. Lineage: Eukaryota; Metazoa; Arthropoda; Insecta; Hymenoptera; Apidae.